AAAUGUUACUAAGUUCUCCUUACAUUGAAUCAUUGUUUCAAUUGAAACUUUUUUCCGGUACUACGUAUUUCUUUUUUCCAUCAAUCUGUUCAAGUUCUUAUCUCCAAGUAUUCCAUGUCAAAUUUGGCUAUUUAAAUGUAAAUGAAUUAAUUUCAAAAUUUAUUCUUUUUUUAAUUACUUUCCCGAAGACAUUCGUCAAAGGCCCGAGGAAAGUCUGCAUCUUUCAAGUGCCCAAAAUGAAUACAAAUUGAAUCAAUUAGGCGGAAUCCGCCUCCAAAUGAAUGUCAGAGAUAAAAUUGGGGGCUUAAGGAAAUGGAGUAAAAACGCAGACAACACUUGCAAGCCGUAACGGAAGCGAUAGCGAAACUUUGCUGCACCACCCACAUUCGCCAACCAGAUUCACCGCCCAUCGCCUGACUCCUUGCCUUUUGCAUAGAUAGCGGAAGUGCCUGGCCCUGUUUUUGGGCUCGCCCUCCCUAUUGCAUAUGAAGCCAAUUUUAUCGAUUCGCUGCAGUUCGCACUUUGCCUACAUUUGGGCCGGGUGGAGGACAGUCUUCUCCCCCCACUUUCAGAUUCCACCAACGCAAUGUCAUUGUCCCCGGGCGACUAUUUACUCUUUGAAACCGAAAAGACCCUAUCCUCAAUCAUAUUAUAUUUUCAAAAGGGCAUUGAACUAGAGUUAAAGAAACUAACACCAGAAAAUUAAGUGAAAUUUUAA
This is a long non-coding RNA of Drosophila ananassae, 718 nucleotides long. RefSeq lists it as uncharacterized. The record is from RefSeq and is a predicted model, not a curated record. NCBI's taxonomy places the organism in Eukaryota, Metazoa, Arthropoda, Insecta, Diptera, Drosophilidae. The transcript is spliced from 2 exons.